This 430-nucleotide ribosomal RNA is filed under the name uncultured bacterium. RNAcentral's name for it is "bacterial SSU rRNA". It matches the Rfam family "Bacterial small subunit ribosomal RNA", at positions 354 to 796 of the family's 1533-position model. The record is from RNAcentral.
GUGAGGAAUUUUCUGCAAUGGGCGAAAGCCUGACAGAGCAAUACCGCGUGAGGGAAGAAGGCUUACUGAGUUGUAAACCUCUGUUACCUAAGGAGGAAGAUCUGACGUUACUUAGGAGACGAAGCAUCGGCUAACUCCGUGCCAGCAGCCGCGGUAAGACGGAGGAUGCAAGUGUUAUCCGGAAUUACUGGGCGUAAAGCGUCUGCAGGUGGUUUCUUAAGUCCACUGUUAAACCUUGAGGCUCAACCUCAAAUCAGCAUUGGAAACUGGGGAACUUGAGUAUAGUAGGGGUAGAGGGAAUUUCCAGUGGAGCGGUGAAAUGCGUAGAUAUUGGAAAGAACACCGAUGGCGAAGGCACUCUACUGGGCUAUUACUGACACUCAGAGACGAAAGCUAGGGGAGCAAAUGGGAUUAGAUACCCGAGUAGUCC